Long non-coding RNA from Esox lucius (northern pike), 673 nucleotides. The record is from Ensembl. NCBI's taxonomy places the organism in Eukaryota, Metazoa, Chordata, Actinopteri, Esociformes, Esocidae.
AGAUGACAAAGAGAGGUUCUCCAACACACCCAGAGAUGUCGAUCAUCAGCAUUUUAGACAGGGUGGGCGAAUUGACAGGAGAAGUCAGGAAAGCACAGCAGAAGCCAAAGAACUCUCCCACUAACAGCCCAGGACUCUGGGAAAUAAUACCUCACAUUGCAACUUGAUCCUAGAGUUUCGGAAAAGCAGACCCCAGGUGGUGAGAAUGGGCAACCUCACCUCCUCUGCAAUGACCCUGAGCACCGGAGACCCCCAAGGCUGCGUACUCAGUCCCCUCCUGUACUCCCUGUUCAUGCAUGAUUGCGUGUCCACACACAGCUCCAACUUCAUCCUUAAGUCUCCUGAGGAGACUCAAGAGGUUUGCCAUGUCUGCAAAAACUCUCACCAACUUCUACAGCUGCACCAUAAAGAGCAUCCUCUCAGGCUGCAUUACUGCCUGGUACGGCAGGUGCUAGCUGCUGAUCGCAAGGCCCUCCAGAGGGUUGUGAAGUCUGCGGAGCGCCAUCUCCCCUCCGUGCAAGGCCUCUACCACACACAAUGCCGUAGGGUAAGCAUGGAACAUCAAAGACUUCAGCCACCCAGGCUAUUGUCUAUUCACACAAGGGUGUGUAACCCCAGGCACACAAGAGUUGCAGAAAGGUGCAGUGACAUUCACUGCUAUAUUAUUGUGCUG